GCCUCUAUAGUUUAAUGGAUAAAAUUUCAGAUUCCGGUUCUGACGAUGAGGGUUCGAUUCCCCCUAGAGGUA
RNAcentral lists this transfer RNA (72 nucleotides) under Bacteroidales bacterium. RNAcentral describes it as "tRNA-Arg". It matches the Rfam family "tRNA". From Rfam's summary of the family: Transfer RNA (tRNA) molecules are approximately 80 nucleotides in length. Their secondary structure includes four short double-helical elements and three loops (D, anti-codon, and T loops). Lineage: Bacteria; Pseudomonadati; Bacteroidota; Bacteroidia; Bacteroidales. The record is from RNAcentral. RNAcentral also lists the same sequence under 1 other name.